This 717-nucleotide long non-coding RNA is filed under the name Suricata suricatta (meerkat). RNAcentral's name for it is "lncRNA (ENSSSUG00005014216.1)". The record is from RNAcentral. Lineage: Eukaryota; Metazoa; Chordata; Mammalia; Carnivora; Herpestidae.
CUUUUAUCUGGAAGAUAGAUUGGGAAGAUGUCACUUCAUUUUUGCACAUUAUCAACAACUAUUUCUUGAAUGCUUACCCUACCUUGUAAGCACCACGUUAAAUGUCUUGUCUACCUGAGGUCACUUCAUCCUAAAAGUAUAUGUAGGACUUGUAAUUAGCCUUAUUUCCAUUUUUCAGAGGAGAAAAGCGAGAGGUGAAGUCCAUUUGCCCAAGGUUAGUGCCCAGCUGGUGCUCAGAGACAGAAUGCGGAUGCGGGUCUUUACCAUCCGGUGCUGUUCUGCACCUUUCCAGCUCAGCCUUCCUCAAGAUGCUUCCGCAGGAGACAUCAGGACUUCUGUUCCAGUGACCCAAUGGAUGUCACGGCAGAGAGCAUGGCAUCGUGGACAGACCACUGGAGAAUGGGCCAGGAGACCUCCCCCCUCCUCCAGUCAAACCCCCAACAUUCCCCGGUUCUCUGGCUCUGUGACAUCACAGCCUCCUCUCUUCUCUACCAGCUACAGGUGAGUGAGCCUCAAAGGUUAGACCUCAGAGCAGGACGGGGUCUUUUUUCUGUACUUAAAGGGACAAUGUCUCCAUCACGCCUGGACACCUUUGCUGAAACACCCCCCCCCUACACAUUCAACAUACAGGAAGCAAACUGGAAUAAAGCAAAAUCCCAUGAGGCAAGAAUUUAUAAGAAGGAAAUUGAAACGAAAGCAAACAGCGGAAGAAAAUAA